RNAcentral lists this ribosomal RNA (62 nucleotides) under uncultured organism. Its description in RNAcentral is "partial 16S ribosomal RNA". The record is from RNAcentral.
UACCCUUGACAUGUCUGGAAUCCCGAAGAGAUUUGGGAGUGCUCGCAAGAGAACCGGAACAC